RNAcentral lists this unclassified non-coding RNA (345 nucleotides) under soil metagenome. Its description in RNAcentral is "partial contains 5.8S ribosomal RNA, internal transcribed spacer 2, and large subunit ribosomal RNA". The stretch from base 1 to 119 matches the Rfam family "5.8S ribosomal RNA", at positions 35 to 154 of the family's 154-position model. The record is from RNAcentral.
GAUGAAGAACGUAGCGAAAUGCGAUACGUAAUGUGAAUUGCAAAUUCAGUGAAUCAUCGAGUCUUUGAACGCACAUUGCGCCCCCUGGUAUUCCGGGGGGCAUGCCUGUCCGAGCGUCAUUGCUGCCCUCAAGCCCGGCUUGGGUGUUGGGCCCCGUCCUCCGAUUCCGGGGGACGGGCCCGAAAGGCAGCGGCGGCACCGCGUCCGGUCCUCGAGCGUAUGGGGCUUUGUCACCCGCUCUGUAGGCCCGGCCGGCGCUUGCCGAUCAACCCAAAUUUUUAUCCAGGUUGACCUCGGAUCAGGUAGGGAUACCCGCUGAACUUAAGCAUAUCAAUAAGCGGAGGA